UCCCUGGUGGUCCAGUGGUUAAGACUCUGCACUUGCACUGCAGGGGGCAUGGGUUCGAUCCCUGAUUGGGGAG
Molecule: non-coding RNA, 73 nt
Organism: Mesoplodon densirostris (Blainville's beaked whale)
Lineage: Eukaryota; Metazoa; Chordata; Mammalia; Artiodactyla; Ziphiidae
Source: the annotation of a RefSeq genome assembly